RNAcentral lists this ribosomal RNA (233 nucleotides) under uncultured bacterium. RNAcentral describes it as "partial 16S ribosomal RNA". It matches the Rfam family "Bacterial small subunit ribosomal RNA", at positions 118 to 347 of the family's 1533-position model. The record is from RNAcentral.
UGAGCAAUCUGCCCUUCUCAUCGGAAUAAGCGUUGGAAACGACGUCUAAUGCCGAAUACGACCUCCUUUCGCAUGAUCGGAGGUGGAAAGCUCCGGCGGAGAAGGAUGAGCUCGCGGCCUAUCAGCUUGUUGGUGAGGUAAUAGCUCACCAAGGCGAUGACGGGUAGCCGGCCUGAGAGGGUCGACCGGCCACACGUGGGACUGAGACACCGGGCCCAGACCUCGUACGGGGA